AUUGAACGCUAGCGGCAUGCCUUACACAUGCAAGUCGAACGGCAGCGGGGGAGCCUGCUCCCGCCGGCGAGUGGCGAACGGGUGAGUAAUACAUCGGAACGUACCCAGUAGCGGGGGAUAGCCCGGCGAAAGCCGGAUUAAUACCGCAUACGCCCUACGGGGGAAAGGGGGGGAUCGCAAGACCUCCCCCCAUUGGAUGGGCCGCUGGCUGAUUAGCUAGUUGGUGGGGUAAAGGCCUACCAAGGCGACGAUCAGGAGCUGGUCUGAGAGGACGACCAGCCACACUGGGACUGAGACACGGCCCAGACUCCUACGGGAGGCAGCAGUGGGGAAUUUUGGACAAUGGGCGAAAGCCUGAUCCAGCAAUGCCGCGUGUGCGAAGAAGGCCUUCGGGUUGUAAAGCACUUUUGUCGGGGAAGAAAUCGUUUGGGUUAAUACCCCGAGCAGUUGACGGUACCUGAAGAAUAAGCACCGGCUAACUACGUGCCAGCCGCCGCCGUAA
RNAcentral lists this ribosomal RNA (502 nucleotides) under uncultured bacterium. RNAcentral describes it as "partial 16S ribosomal RNA". It matches the Rfam family "Bacterial small subunit ribosomal RNA", at positions 29 to 523 of the family's 1533-position model. The record is from RNAcentral.